Molecule: unclassified non-coding RNA, 482 nt
Filed under: Hevea brasiliensis (rubber tree)
Lineage: Eukaryota; Viridiplantae; Streptophyta; Magnoliopsida; Malpighiales; Euphorbiaceae
Source: RNAcentral
GUAUAAUACUUUAUUGAUCCAAGCUAGCCAUUAAAACAGCCCAACAAGGAAAAUUCAUUCACUAGAGGGCCUGAAAUACCCUAUCACUUACUUAUUAGUACAACAAUACAAAUCCCCUCCAGUCCAGGAUUUCAUACAUACUUAAAACCUCCAAUACUACUCAAUAUUUAGAUGGAUAGAUCAGCAGUUGGGGAUGGGUACCCUGCACGUAGAUGCCACCACCCUGCUCCGGGGGGAGUUUAUGUAACCACUCAGAGCAGGGUUACUCCUGUACUGGCAGAAGCACGGCGCUUGCGCUCUGAGCUGGGCGCAACAGCCCGCGGUGGGCGGGGACGAGUUUAGGAUCGCCGGAGCGCAGGGGCUGAGAGCUGAGGGAUUGCAGGUGACACCGAUGGCCGCCGGAGCGAGGAGAAGAACGGAGAGGAGGGAGAGCAUCACUAGGAAAGUUAUCUUCAUCCUUGGGACUGUUUAGAAGGAUGUUG